This 253-nucleotide ribosomal RNA is filed under the name uncultured bacterium. RNAcentral's name for it is "partial 16S ribosomal RNA". It matches the Rfam family "Bacterial small subunit ribosomal RNA", at positions 524 to 776 of the family's 1533-position model. The record is from RNAcentral.
UACAUGGGGUGCAAACGUUGCUCGGAAUUAUUGGGCGUAAAGCGCGCGUAGGCGGUUACUCAAGUCGGAUGUGAAAGCCCUCGGCUUAACUGAGGAAGUGCACCCGAAACUGAGUAGCUAGAGUACUAAAGAGGGUCGCGGAAUUCCCGGUGUAGAGGUGAAAUUCGUAGAUAUCGGGAGGAACACCGGUGGCGAAGGCGGCUCACUGGCCCGUAACUGACGCUGAGGUGCGAAAGCGUGGGGAGCAAACAGG